GACUCGUCGUACUUUGUAGGUGCG
This 24-nucleotide non-coding RNA is filed under the name Arabidopsis thaliana (thale cress). The record is from RNAcentral. Lineage: Eukaryota; Viridiplantae; Streptophyta; Magnoliopsida; Brassicales; Brassicaceae.